Molecule: long non-coding RNA, 6268 nt
Organism: Bombus huntii
Lineage: Eukaryota; Metazoa; Arthropoda; Insecta; Hymenoptera; Apidae
Exons: 4
Source: RefSeq, a predicted model, not a curated record
CGACGAUCACACGACCCGACGUUUUUCCACCCUUAUCUUCGCUCGCUUCACCGUCUCAAAAACCUGUAUAGGCACUUUCAUAGCUUGCGCCGCGAAGAUGUCAACGGGGAUGUCGCUUUUUUCUCUCUCCCCCUCCACUCUCUCUCUCUCUCUCUCUUACUCACUCUCUUUCUCUCUCUCCAUCUCUUUGUCAAGAGUGGGGGACGACGCUCGCGAUCGUCGAUACGGGCCUGUGUUUCGACCACGGGAACGGAAACUUUUGCAUCCUGCUCUUUUACUGGAAGUGGAAAGAAGGGGGCAAUGUGCUCGAGAAACUCAUAAACGCAUCCUUCGGGCACGCAAGUCGCGAAGAAUGGGCGCAAUAUCGACCGGAAGUCGCGGAAAUUUUUCCACGAACACGAGCCGCACGCCGGAAAGCGCAUCGACUCGGCAAUGCGGACAAUUGCAUCCCCCCUAAAAGCCAUUCGUGAUGAAAGUCCAGCGUCCAUGGGGGCAAUGGGGUAGCCGGGUGUGGGGGUCGCAUUCCGGCCGAGAUUAAUUCAGAGCGAAGAGGAAUUCAGCGUCUAUCUCGCCGUUUGCGGAACCGUUUUCGAGCAAUUAUUUCAGCAACAUUGCAAAACGAUCACGCCCCGCCUCCCUCUUACUCCCCCCUUCUCACAGAACACCACGUGUUUCGAUUAAGUUGCACUACGUUUCUUCGCGAUUACCAGCCUUUCUUGUCCGUCUUCGGUUCAGUUUCAACUUUCACCUUUUUUCGGAAUGCGUACUUACUACGAAAGUUCUCCACGCGAGUUUCUUAAUUGUCAGUUGCAUCGGAGAUAUUCUUUCCAACUUUUGUAUAUCUUUUUCGGUGGUAUUUGAAAUUUGCCACGUUUAAUAAGCAAAUAGGUAAUAUGACGUCUAUGCGAACGAAAGGAAUUUUAAUUUUUCCAUUACAUCGCGACCUCAAGAUACCCACAGUCAAAGAAGAAAUAUCCAAAUUCAGUAAUAGAUAUAACAUAAGAGUUAACAACCACCAAAACCCACUAGUUACUACCCGUAGUUGUAGGUUAAGGGGUUAAGCGCUAGAUUCAACUAGAAUCAAACACACGAUAAACAUUUAUUAAACACGACAUAGUACCAUGCCAAAAAAAUUUACUUAUAAUUCUCAAUGAGAAUUUUUUUUUAUUAUUUAUUAAUAUUUACAAUCAAUUCUCGCAUUGAGAAUUUUCAGUAAUUUUUUCUGGCGUGGCGCAGUGACAUGGCUAAUUAUUCAUAAUAAGUUAAUACUUAUUAUAGAUAAGUAUAAUUUAUAAGUAAGUGUUAUAGAUAAGUAAAUAUUACUUAAUAUAAAUAUCUAAUUAAAUCUAGUGUUUAAGUCUAACGGGUAGAGUGUCUUCAGCCUGCGGAUCUGGUCCGACGUAUCAAGUAAUCCAGUAAUUAGGGGGUUUCGAUGUUUGGUGACUCUUUUGCUAUAUCUGUCGCUAUAUUUUGCCAUUUCCUCUUUGACUGUGGGUCAAUGAGAAUUGAAUGUAAAAUUCAUCCAAACAAAAAAAAUUCUUCCAUUGGAAUUUUCUAUGUCUCAUUUAAAUACAAUUUUUGAUAUAUAGGUAAUAUAAUUUGAACAUUUUCGUCGAACGUUAUUUUGUAAAAUUGACUUUGGUAUAUUACAUAUCGCGCAUUUUAUAUUACAUAGUAAAAUUAGAAAUUAAAAAGCACUUGUUUUUUGCUAUUUCUUAAUUUAAUUUUAAAAGACGUUUAAAUUUAAAAGACAACCUUCUUGCAAUAUCUAGUUACGGUAAAAAGAAAAUUAUUUUAAAAUGACGAAAUACUUUGACUAUUCGCGUAUCUUGUACCUACUCUUGUACCUCCUGUAUCGUGUACCUCGCAGAUAUAAACGCAACAAAAGAAUCAACUAACGAUACAACCAACUAAAAACACUUACACACACACAUAGACGCGUGUACAUACACACAGAAAUACUUUCCCCCUUCUUUUAGCAUAAAAAGAUUCAUCCGGUCGCUCGUCAGUUUUGCUUUUCAUUAAUUCCAUGCUCGUACGAUUUUCAAUUCAGAUUACUCGCACCGAUCAGACUGCAACGAUCAUUUCCUUUUUCUUCGUACCGCUUGCGUUCAGACGGAAGAUCAAGGCCGGAGUGACACUAUAAUAAGCUGUUUAAUAAUCAAUGCGCAUGGACCAAUAAUUACGAUUCGACGGAGGAGUGGGUAUGCAAAGAAGCACUAGCGCGAACUGGUUUCAGACAAUGACGACUCGGGUACGAUCGCGUUCGAAGAAUAAUGCGAUCCUUCCUCUUCCUCUUUUCUUUACGUACUUUCUCUUUCUUUCGUUCUCUCUGGGCCUCGUUUCGAUACGCUUUCGAUUGUCCCGUAAUUUUGAUAUGCCAGACGAACCGGGAAGGACUGCGCCCCUUUUUUUCUCACGUUCGCUGUUUCUUCCUUUUAUCUGAUCUACGUCGCUGUUAAAUAAGCAGCUGCUUACUCGAAGGUGUAACGUAUCGAAUAGCUAACGAUGAUUCUUCUUGUCAAUGGCAAUUACACAUUUUUUAAUAUCAUCGUUCGCUCGAUUUUACAAAAUCUUCUUCCAUUCGCUUUUAGAUAUACAAACAUUUCCUGCCGGACAAAUAUGUCUUUUUAUUAUCUAUUUUCAAGUUGUGUUUGAAAUUCUUAGUUUUUCUGCUACUAUUCAAGAUUAUUAUUUAGUCUUCGAUAGAUGGAAAUUUCACGAAGAUUGAUACAGCAGCGCUAUCAGGCACCUGUUUCAUAAUUUCGUAAGAAAUACAAAAUAAAAGUAACGACUGAAAAUAUCGAUUCAAUUCAUCCGCAGGCUCUAGAUUCAAAGAUACGUCAAAGGCACUUCUGGAUGUUCCUUCAAAGUAUUUACGAAAAAUUAUCGAACAAAAUCCGUCUAAAUCACGAAGACCUUAUUUAAGAAGGGACAGAAGCACCAAUUUCUAUGUAUAGAAAGCGGUGAUAGAAAUCAAACAUCGAACACAUUAUAUCUUCCUACAAUUUCAUAUUGAAUUUUUGAGAAAGCCUGAUAGAAGAAACGUGCAACAGGACGCCCACGAGUCUUUGCCACGUCCAUAUUCACCUUUCAUUCUUUCCAUUCCCCUCUUCAACCCCAUCGCAUCGAUGAUUCGAGUCUACGUUUGAUCGAGUCCCGUGCAGCAUCCGGCAUCGAAGAAACCGGAAGACGAUGUUCUCUGCCGGCAGAUUCUCCUGGGAACACUCGAGGCUAUCUGUCAAUCGUGGCAGCAGUUCGAUUCAAAGCGAUAUUCGGAUUAAUGGUUCGGAUAGACGGGACGAUCGCGGUACAAUGGCCCCGAUACAAUGAGAGGAAAUAUCCAAGAUAUGCAAAUACCGAUGAUCUUCGGCCGGAAAAAGGGUCCGGGAAGACGGAACGGGGCACACAUGUUCGGCCAUAUUUGCAUACCGGCUGAUUUGCAUGCGGAAAUUUGCAUCGCACCGAAGACGAUCUCGAUCGGAAAGGGAAUUCUUCUGUUUGCCUAUUGGCGUGAAAGGGGUGCGUCGUAGAGAGGAAGGGACGAAGAAGGUGCUUGCAUGUAAGGGGCGAGAAGGAGAGAUAAACGGAAUAAUAUAUUAAGGGCGCAAAACACUGUUAAUGCCUUUGUGUCGCUCGGCUAGGAAUAAUGCCACUUUUUCCCUUUGUGGAAAUCCUAAAUGUAUUUUGAUUCCCGACGCUCAGCCCGUUCUCACCGGGCUGAUUUGAAUUCUCGAGUGGUGGUUUUCGCUCGUCUAUUACUAUCAAUCGGGGCACACACGGAUUCUCCGACCUUUCGACACCGGCUGUCACAUUUCGACUGGGAUUUCUCGAUUGCGGUUUGCGAAUCGUAAGUACUUAUAUCAGGAUUCUUCCUACUGUUGCUCUCAGUCGAUUAAGUGUUUAUUCGUGUUGGUGAAUAUUAAAGUAGAUAUGUAAGAGAAAAUUUUAGUUCGUAAUUUUUAGCAAGACAAAUUAACUACGUUUAACUAUACUUCAAUUUCCUGAGUUACUGCAACUUGGUGCAAUUCGUUCGCGGAUAGCGUUAAAAAAGAGCAAACACGAAAAUUGUAUAUAUUUUUAUGUUUUUAGUAGUAUAAUUAUAGUUAUAUUAUUAUACAUUUAGCAAUAUAGUAAUAGCGUAAACUAUUUACAGUCGAUAUAACUACUUCACUUUUUAUACAGAAAGAUGUUACCUGUCAAUGUUCCUUCCUUCCCAAUUCAAUUUUAGUCAGUCAAGUAUUUUGAAUUUUUAAAUUAAUAUCCAGCAAAGUUUCAAAGGUACAAUCUCGUGCUAUUAUUUUCAUAAUAGCUUUAUUAAACAAUUAAUGGUUGCAAAGCAUAAGCCUUUAUUCUGAACAAACAAUCUUUUUAGCCCUUUAAACUUCGAUCUACUGCAACAAACUCUAGAACGAAUCAAUCUGAUCUACUCAAAAAAAAAAAAAAAAAAAAAAAAAAGAAAAAGAAAGAAGAAAAGAACGUACUCCAUGAAUCAGACGAAAGCUCAGUGAAUGGUAUGUGAUAUAAAACACGUCCUCAAAGAAAGGAUUGGUCUUUCUAUUAACAUCCGAUUGAUCUCUAUGGAAAGGAAAAAAGUCCUCUCGACCCAGAUACGUUCGUAGACGUAUCAGAGUCAUUUCGAGAGCCUUCGUUGGUGAAAAGGAUGGUGGUAGCUCGGACGACGUCCAUUGUGCUCGACGAAGAAGAAGCUGCGUGUGCCAGCCACGGAAAGUGAUAUCUAUUCAAGCUGUUCUUCUUCAUCCACGGGGCGUCCUGGAACUGGAAACGUGAGACGUCGCUGGCUGUAACAAAGGCGACAGGUAGAAACACUUUCGUCGAGGGAAAAAGAUGCGCUCCUUUGGGAAAUCGAACAAUCGGGUUGCCUGUUUUUCGAAAAUCGGAAUGUUUGCCUUCUCGCGUCCAACUAAACUGGUGAACCGUGUUGGGCCGCGCGUACGCAUAUAUACACGUGGAUAUGGUAAUUCACCGGCAUCGCCGGUGAUAUGUAAAUAAGUUAGAUUCGAGUUUUGUUGCGGAGCCACGGGCGGGGGGUGAGCGCGGCCCAGUCUCGAUGGGAACCAUGGUAUAGGAAACGAAAGAACGAGCCAUCCUGGGGGAGAGGAAUGACGAAAAGAACGCGUAAGUGUAAGCGCCUUAGUAGCCGCACACACGAUCCGGACGACCGGAUCCAGAUUUAUUGGCCGUUCGGCGAACAGAGAGGAGAAAAGCUGGCCCGUUCGGUGUGAACGGAAGCCAGGGAUUUUACGAUCUUGAUUCCGAAUCAACUGGCGACUCCGUUUCGUCUUUCUGCUGCCUGAUAAUCUUCUCGGGGCUCGACGACGCGCGCGCGAUCGAAACUGACGUCUCUCGAUCGGAAUUUUUGACUUGGUCUUUCGAGCUUUACUGUAAAAGGUUAACGCGUUAACAGCCACGCGAGAUUUAUGUAUCUUGUCUAUAUAAGAAAUACUUGAAAUAUAGAUAUAUAUUUAUGAUCUCGAUCAUUCUGUAUAUUAUUUUUUAUUUAUAUCACUUGACUCGGGUAUAGCUUAGUCAUGGUUUAGUGACUAAAGUCAUAUGCUAUAUUAAUCAAGUAAAACGAAAAUAACUAAAGAUACCUAAUAAAAAAUAAUAAAUAAUAAGUAAUAAAUACAAAAUAUUGUGCUACGAUAACAGUUAUUAAUUGUAGAAUGGCGCAUUGUUUAUUUUAUAUUUAUAACGUUGUAUAAUUAUUUACGUUGUUUAGAAUUUUUCAGUCGAUGGUAUUCAUCUUAUUUGUGUCAUUCGGAAAUAUUUAGAAAUACCAGUACCACGACCAUCCGUGUGUUAAAUAAGAGAAAUUUAACCAUUGAAGAGCCCUACAAGCUUCUGAAUGUUAGAGAAAUGUUUCAAAAUUAAUUUAUACGAAGCAAUGCGCAUCUCCGUUCAAGGGAGCGUUAAGAUAUCGUGGAGUCCUUUAGCAAAAUUGAAAUACGUUAGUUUACAUAAGUUUUUAGAGUGUACAUGUGCUAACUUUCCAUUUAGUCAUUAACGUUAUCAUAUCAUUUGUAAUGUGGAUUAAUCUUAUGUAAUUGUAUCAUACGUAUGUGUACGUGUUCUUGUAUAAUGUUUUCCGCUUUAAAAACUGUAUUUUCGUUAACUGUACAUAUUUCCUAGAUCUAGAAAACAGUCCUUUAGAUAAUACAACGCGAACACAAUUAUUUUUAAGAUGCAUUUUUACCGUAAAAAAGUUAUAUUUUUUUGGACGAAAUUUUCAUAAUAAAUUGUUUCU